Polyodon spathula (Mississippi paddlefish) is the source of this 462-nucleotide long non-coding RNA. RefSeq lists it as uncharacterized. Lineage: Eukaryota; Metazoa; Chordata; Actinopteri; Acipenseriformes; Polyodontidae. The record is from RefSeq and is a predicted model, not a curated record. The transcript is spliced from 3 exons.
GUAAGAGAUGGGUGUGAUCUUCAGCACAGACCUGCGGGGAAAGCCAGGGUGAAACCGAUAAAUGUUGAAUGACAUACUGCUGACAUUCAGAAAACAGCAUACACGCUAACUACUGAAUUAAUAUGCUUCUCAAUAACUUCACUUGCUUUCUCUAACAAUAAGUAAAACAUUUUGGUUCGAGCUAAAACACGAGUAACAACAAGUGAACACUAUGCUAACGUCAGUACACACUAAAUAAAUUAACACGCAACAGACGAUGACACGUUACUCGAUAAAGAAAUGUGCUUGCCAGGUGUACCCAGACUGCAGGCAGUGCCUUGGAAAGCAUAUCUGCAUCCAACGUGUGCCAUCAAAGUAUGCAAAUGAACAUUGAGAGAAGGAUGAAGAGGACAGGGGGGUCCUGCUUGUUAUCUUUGUUGUGUGUUGCCACAAAUCUGUAAAUAAAUUAUAUAAAUGCGGCAU